This 429-nucleotide ribosomal RNA is filed under the name Triticum aestivum (bread wheat). Its description in RNAcentral is "partial small subunit ribosomal RNA". Lineage: Eukaryota; Viridiplantae; Streptophyta; Magnoliopsida; Poales; Poaceae. The record is from RNAcentral.
AUGUUGCCGCUCGUGGCUUGUCCUUGUUGCCAUGUCCGUGACACCAUUGUGCUCCGUUCGAAAUCUAUUGCCAACCCUGGACGGGUGUUCUACAAGUGCCCCAACCAUCGUGUUGGAACGAAUCCAUGCCAGCACUACUACUGGGAAGAUGGCCCAGAUAACUAUUUUGAUUUUCUGGUUAAGAAUGGCCACAUAUCUAUUGCAAGAACAGGAAGAUCUGGAGGUAUCUCUGGUCAUUCAUUGGGCGACAUAGAAAGUGAAGAGGCAGAGGAGGAGGAAGACAGAGGUGUUAAAGUCCAGAAGAUUUGCAAUGGUGUGAUGAUUGAUGUUGUGAAGAAGCUGGAUGAGCUGAUCUGCUUAGUUAGGAUGUCCUUGUUUUGUAUUGUCACUUUGUUGGCUGUGAUGAUUUAUGUAGUGGCUCUGAAAUGA